AGGUUGGUGCAAAAGUAACUGCAGUUCUUGUCAUCAUUUUUAAUGACAAAAACUGCAGUUACUUUUGCACCA
MicroRNA precursor from Gorilla gorilla gorilla (western lowland gorilla), 72 nucleotides. The record is from Ensembl. NCBI's taxonomy places the organism in Eukaryota, Metazoa, Chordata, Mammalia, Primates, Hominidae.